AGCGCAGGUGGUUUUAUUAAGUCUGGUGUAAAAGGCAGUGGCUCAACCAUUGUAUGCAUUGGAAACUGGUAGACUUGAGUGCAGGAGAGGAGAGUGGAAUUCCAUGUGUAGCGGUGAAAUGCGUAGAUAUAUGGAGGAACACCGGUGGCGAAAGCGGCUCUCUGGCCUGCAACUGACACUGAGGCUCGAAAGGCGUGGGAGCAAACA
RNAcentral lists this ribosomal RNA (207 nucleotides) under uncultured bacterium. Its description in RNAcentral is "partial 16S ribosomal RNA". It matches the Rfam family "Bacterial small subunit ribosomal RNA", at positions 568 to 774 of the family's 1533-position model. The record is from RNAcentral.